GGGUGCUCUUGGAGGUGGCAGAGGAUCUGCUUUGCAUGCAGGAGGUGUGGGGUUCAAUCCCCACCGGCAGCG
Molecule: non-coding RNA, 72 nt
Organism: Podarcis lilfordi (Lilford's wall lizard)
Lineage: Eukaryota; Metazoa; Chordata; Lepidosauria; Squamata; Lacertidae
Source: the annotation of a GenBank genome assembly